AGUGGUCAACAGUGUUGCACAUCAGAAGUGUAGUGUAACUCGGUUGAUAAUGAGCGGCGCAACGGUCCAGGCCGGAGACGGAGCAGACAGAAGCUGUCCGCCAUUGCUAGCAGGAGGAAAACGAAUCUUUUU
This 132-nucleotide signal recognition particle RNA is filed under the name Bigelowiella natans. Its description in RNAcentral is "partial Metazoan signal recognition particle RNA". It matches the Rfam family "Protozoan signal recognition particle RNA", at positions 94 to 228 of the family's 228-position model. The record is from RNAcentral. Lineage: Eukaryota; Cercozoa; Chlorarachniophyceae.